AUGUCGUGAUGAGGGCACUUUCUCAGUAAUUCCUUGAACCUCUCCCAUGCUUCAUACAAUGAUUCCCUCGUCAGUCUGGAAGAAUUUAUUAAUCUCCCCUCUCAACCU
Humulus lupulus (European hop) is the source of this 108-nucleotide small nucleolar RNA. Lineage: Eukaryota; Viridiplantae; Streptophyta; Magnoliopsida; Rosales; Cannabaceae. The record is from RefSeq and is a predicted model, not a curated record.